AUUUUGUUAAGCUCUGUGAGGCACCCCCCAGGAAUCAGCUUCCUUGUUACCUGGAGGAAGCUGACAAUCGAUGUUAACUACCCUCAAAGUCUGGAAUGAGGACUGAAAAGGAGCUGGAUCACAAACCAUAGGGGAUAUGUCUGGGCUAUGAUAAGCCUUCAAAAUGAACAGGAGGUUUUGGGUGAAAUGGCCCUGAGGGCAACACCGAGCAACUCAGGUCCAAGUGGCCGGUUCGACCAGGUCGUGACUCCUCAAUGCCAGCAGAGGGCGCGAGCGGACCGACCCUUGCAGCUCCGGGCCUCCCGCUCCCCGCGGAUGCGCAGACCCGGGAGGAGCGCUGGUCCAGAGCAGGUGCGGAGAGCAAGUCAGCCAGCACGCACCAAGCAAGAGUGCCGGGUGACGUAAGGAACGCGGGAGCCCAGCAACAUGGGAGCUGUUUAAUUUUUUCGCCAGUUUUCAUCGGUGAACGGAAUUCUCAAGGAACAAUCUUUCUCCCCUCUCUCCCAGCCCGCCUCGUUCUUUGCUUCCGAGCUUUUCUGGUUCCAGGGGGCAGUUAGCAGCAUUUUUGGGGUAUUUUAAACGGGAUGGGCGGUUCUGGGGUAUCCAAUACCACUCAAGGCAGGCAGAGGCCCAUGGUGUGCUGCAACGUUG
RNAcentral lists this long non-coding RNA (651 nucleotides) under Homo sapiens (human). Its description in RNAcentral is "PREDICTED lncRNA (TCONS_00174958)". Lineage: Eukaryota; Metazoa; Chordata; Mammalia; Primates; Hominidae. The record is from RNAcentral.